This is a long non-coding RNA of Hemicordylus capensis (graceful crag lizard), 248 nucleotides long. RefSeq lists it as uncharacterized. Lineage: Eukaryota; Metazoa; Chordata; Lepidosauria; Squamata; Cordylidae. The record is from RefSeq and is a predicted model, not a curated record. The transcript is spliced from 3 exons.
UCCAAGUUGGGUUACCCGAGGAUGGCCAUACAGCGGCUCAGCCGGUGGCGGACCAGGCUAUACCGCAGCCAAACUCAUCAAAACACCAGAAACUACAGUAAAAGACUAUCCCCACUUGUUAUGUGUCUUCUGAGAACAAAAGCAUUGAAAUGAUGAUUACUCGCUGCAACGUACUCGCAAUGUGUCCACUAACUGCCUGUCCAUAUUGCCCGUGUUUCCACAUCAGUGUCGCUGCAUUCUCCAAAAGG